GACGAACGCUGGCGGCGUGCUUAACACAUGCAAGUCGAACGAAGAGCGACGGAAGCUUGCUUCUAUCAAUCUUAGUGGCGAACGGGUGAGUAACGCGUAAUCAACCUGCCCUUCAGAGGGGGACAACAGUUGGAAACGACUGCUAAUACCGCAUACGAUCUAAUCUCGGCAUCGAGGAUGGAUGAAAGGUGGCCUCUACAUGUAAGCUAUCACUGAAGGAGGGGAUUGCGUCUGAUUAGCUAGUUGGAGGGGUAACGGCCCACCAAGGCGAUGAUCAGUAGCCGGUCUGAGAGGAUGAACGGCCACAUUGGGACUGAGACGCGGCCCAGACUCCUACGGGAGGCAGCAGUGGGGAAUCUUCCGCAAUGGACGAAAGUCUGACGGAGCAACGCCGCGUGAGUGAUGACGGCCUUCGGGUUGUAAAGCUCUGUUAAUCGGGACGAAAGGCCUUCUUGCGAAUAGUGAGAAGGAUUGACGGUACCGGAAUAGAAAGCCACGGCUAACUACGUG
RNAcentral lists this ribosomal RNA (510 nucleotides) under uncultured bacterium. RNAcentral describes it as "partial 16S ribosomal RNA". It matches the Rfam family "Bacterial small subunit ribosomal RNA", at positions 28 to 507 of the family's 1533-position model. The record is from RNAcentral.